This 459-nucleotide ribosomal RNA is filed under the name uncultured bacterium. RNAcentral describes it as "partial 16S ribosomal RNA". It matches the Rfam family "Bacterial small subunit ribosomal RNA", at positions 338 to 795 of the family's 1533-position model. The record is from RNAcentral.
CCUACGGGAGGCUGCAGUGAGGAAUAUUGGUCAAUGGCCGAAAGCCUGAACCAGCCAAGUCGCGUGAGGGAAGACGGCCCUACGGGUUGUAAACUUCUUUUGUCCGGGAGCAAAGCGCCUUACGUGUAGCUCUUUGCAUGUACCCUAUGAAAAAGCAUCGGCUAAUUCCGUGCCAGCCGCCGCGGUAAUACGGAGGGUGCGGGCGUUAUCCGGAUUUAUUGGGUUUAAAGGGUGCGUAGGCGGCGGUGCAAGUCGGCGGGAAAAGUGCGGGGCUCAACCCCGCCCUGCCGGUGAAACUGGAGCGCUUGAGUGCGCGAGAAGCAUGCGGAAUGCGUGGUGUAGCGGUGAAAUGCAUAGAUAUCACGCAGAACUCCGAUUGCGAAGGCAGCAUACCGGCGCGCAACUGACGCUGAUGCACGAAAGCGUGGGUAUCGAACAGGAUUAGAUACCCCAGUAGUC